RNAcentral lists this ribosomal RNA (253 nucleotides) under uncultured bacterium. RNAcentral's name for it is "partial 16S ribosomal RNA". It matches the Rfam family "Bacterial small subunit ribosomal RNA", at positions 524 to 776 of the family's 1533-position model. The record is from RNAcentral.
AACGUAGGACGCAAGCGUUAUCCGGAGUUACUGGGCGUAAAGCGCAGGUAGGCGGUUUGAUAAGUCUGUUGUGAAAGCUCCCGGCUUAACUGGGAGAGGUCAACGGAAACUGUCAGGCUAGAGUGUGGUAGAGGUAGCUGGAAUUCCCGGUGUAGCGGUGAAAUGCGUAGAUAUCGGGAGGAAUACCUAUGGCGAAAGCAGGCUACUGGACCAUCACUGACGCUGAUCUGCGAAAGCUAGGGGAGCAAACAGG